GGUUAAGCGACUAAGCGUACACGGUGGAUGCCCUGGCAGUCAGAGGCGAUGAAGGACGUGCUAAUCUGCGAUAAGCGUCGGUAAGGUGAUAUGAACCGUUAUAACCGGCGAUUUCCGAAUGGGGAAACCCAGUGUGUUUCGACACACUAUCAUUAACUGAAUCCAUAGGUUAAUGAGGCGAACCGGGGGAACUGAAACAUCUAAGUACCCCGAGGAAAAGAAAUCAACCGAGAUUCCCCCAGUAGCGGCGAGCGAACGGGGAGGAGCCCAGAGCCUGAAUCAGUGUGUGUGUUAGUGGAAGCGUCUGGAAAGGCGCGCGAUACAGGGUGACAGUCCCGUACACAAAAAUGCACAUGCUGUGAGCUCGAUGAGUAGGGCGGGACACGUGGUAUCCUGUCUGAAUAUGGGGGGACCAUCCUCCAAGGCUAAAUACUCCUGACUGACCGAUAGUGAACCAGUACCGUGAGGGAAAGGCGAAAAGAACCCCGGCGAGGGGAGUGAAAAAGAACCUGAAACCGUGUACGUACAAGCAGUGGGAGCACGCUUCGGCGUGUGACUGCGUACCUUUUGUAUAAUGGGUCAGCGACUUAUAUUCUGUAGCAAGGUUAACCGAAUAGGGGAGCCGAAGGGAAACCGAGUCUUAACUGGGCGUUAAGUUGCAGGGUAUAGACCCGAAACCCGGUGAUCUAGCCAUGGGCAGGUUGAAGGUUGGGUAACACUAACUGGAGGACCGAACCGACUAAUGUUGAAAAAUUAGCGGAUGACUUGUGGCUGGGGGUGAAAGGCCAAUCAAACCGGGAGAUAGCUGGUUCUCCCCGAAAGCUAUUUAGGUAGCGCCUCGUGAAUUCAUCUCCGGGGGUAGAGCACUGUUUCGGCAAGGGGGUCAUCCCGACUUACCAACCCGAUGCAAACUGCGAAUACCGGAGAAUGUUAUCACGGGAGACACACGGCGGGUGCUAACGUCCGUCGUGAAGAGGGAAACAACCCAGACCGCCAGCUAAGGUCCCAAAGUCAUGGUUAAGUGGGAAACGAUGUGGGAAGGCCCAGACAGCCAGGAUGUUGGCUUAGAAGCAGCCAUCAUUUAAAGAAAGCGUAAUAGCUCACUGGUCGAGUCGGCCUGCGCGGAAGAUGUAACGGGGCUAAACCAUGCACCGAAGCUGCGGCAGCGACACUAUGUGUUGUUGGGUAGGGGAGCGUUCUGUAAGCCUGUGAAGGUGUACUGUGAGGUAUGCUGGAGGUAUCAGAAGUGCGAAUGCUGACAUAAGUAACGAUAAAGCGGGUGAAAAGCCCGCUCGCCGGAAGACCAAGGGUUCCUGUCCAACGUUAAUCGGGGCAGGGUGAGUCGACCCCUAAGGCGAGGCCGAAAGGCGUAGUCGAUGGGAAACAGGUUAAUAUUCCUGUACUUGGUGUUACUGCGAAGGGGGGACGGAGAAGGCUAUGUUGGCCGGGCGACGGUUGUCCCGGUUUAAGCGUGUAGGCUGGUUUUCCAGGCAAAUCCGGAAAAUCAAGGCUGAGGCGUGAUGACGAGGCACUACGGUGCUGAAGCAACAAAUGCCCUGCUUCCAGGAAAAGCCUCUAAGCAUCAGGUAACAUCAAAUCGUACCCCAAACCGACACAGGUGGUCAGGUAGAGAAUACCAAGGCGCUUGAGAGAACUCGGGUGAAGGAACUAGGCAAAAUGGUGCCGUAACUUCGGGAGAAGGCACGCUGAUAUGUAGGUGAAGUCCCUCGCGGAUGGAGCUGAAAUCAGUCGAAGAUACCAGCUGGCUGCAACUGUUUAUUAAAAACACAGCACUGUGCAAACACGAAAGUGGACGUAUACGGUGUGACGCCUGCCCGGUGCCGGAAGGUUAAUUGAUGGGGUUAGCGGUAACGCGAAGCUCUUGAUCGAAGCCCCGGUAAACGGCGGCCGUAACUAUAACGGUCCUAAGGUAGCGAAAUUCCUUGUCGGGUAAGUUCCGACCUGCACGAAUGGCGUAAUGAUGGCCAGGCUGUCUCCACCCGAGACUCAGUGAAAUUGAACUCGCUGUGAAGAUGCAGUGUACCCGCGGCAAGACGGAAAGACCCCGUGAACCUUUACUAUAGCUUGACACUGAACAUUGAGCCUUGAUGUGUAGGAUAGGUGGGAGGCUUUGAAGUGUGGACGCCAGUCUGCAUGGAGCCGACCUUGAAAUACCACCCUUUAAUGUUUGAUGUUCUAACGUUGGCCCCUGAUCGGGGUUGCGGACAGUGUCUGGUGGGUAGUUUGACUGGGGCGGUCUCCUCCUAAAGAGUAACGGAGGAGCACGAAGGUUGGCUAAUCCUGGUCGGACAUCAGGAGGUUAGUGCAAUGGCAUAAGCCAGCUUGACUGCGAGCGUGACGGCGCGAGCAGGUGCGAAAGCAGGUCAUAGUGAUCCGGUGGUUCUGAAUGGAAGGGCCAUCGCUCAACGGAUAAAAGGUACUCCGGGGAUAACAGGCUGAUACCGCCCAAGAGUUCAUAUCGACGGCGGUGUUUGGCACCUCGAUGUCGGCUCAUCACAUCCUGGGGCUGAAGUAGGUCCCAAGGGUAUGGCUGUUCGCCAUUUAAAGUGGUACGCGAGCUGGGUUUAGAACGUCGUGAGACAGUUCGGUCCCUAUCUGCCGUGGGCGCUGGAGAACUGAGGGGGGCUGCUCCUAGUACGAGAGGACCGGAGUGGACGCAUCACUGGUGUUCGGGUUGUCAUGCCAAUGGCACUGCCCGGUAGCUAAAUGCGGAAGAGAUAAGUGCUGAAAGCAUCUAAGCACGAAACUUGCCCCG
RNAcentral lists this ribosomal RNA (2776 nucleotides) under Escherichia coli. RNAcentral's name for it is "partial 23S ribosomal RNA". It matches the Rfam family "Bacterial large subunit ribosomal RNA". The record is from RNAcentral. Lineage: Bacteria; Pseudomonadati; Pseudomonadota; Gammaproteobacteria; Enterobacterales; Enterobacteriaceae.